AACGAACGCUGGCGGCAUGCCUAACACAUGCAAGUCGAACGGGAUCCGGACUUCGGUCCGGUGAGAGUGGCGGACGGGUGAGUAACACGUGGGAACCUGCCUUUUGGUUCGGGAUAACCGCGGGAAACUGCGGCUAAUACCGGAUGCUCCCGAGAGGGAAAAGAUUUAUCGCCAGAAGAGGGGCCCGCGUCCGAUUAGGUAGUUGGUGGGGUAAUGGCCUACCAAGCCGACGAUCGGUAGCUGGUCUGAGAGGAUGAUCAGCCACACUGGGACUGAGAUACGGCCCAGACUCCUACGGGAGGCAGCAGUGGGGAAUAUUGGACAAUGGGGGCAACCCUGAUCCAGCAAUGCCGCGUGAGUGAUGAAGGCCUUAGGGUUGUAAAGCUCUUUUGCCAGGGAAGAUGAUGACUGUACCUGGAGAAUAAGCCCCGGCUAACUUCGUGCCAGCAGCCGCGGU
This 457-nucleotide ribosomal RNA is filed under the name uncultured bacterium. Its description in RNAcentral is "bacterial SSU rRNA". It matches the Rfam family "Bacterial small subunit ribosomal RNA", at positions 29 to 521 of the family's 1533-position model. The record is from RNAcentral.